AGGAAUAACCCUGAGCAAAGCUG
Molecule: non-coding RNA, 23 nt
Filed under: Cricetulus griseus (Chinese hamster)
Lineage: Eukaryota; Metazoa; Chordata; Mammalia; Rodentia; Cricetidae
Source: RNAcentral